CCUACGGGAGGCAGCAGUGAGGAAUAUUGGUCAAUGGACGUAAGGCUGAACCAGCCAAGCCGCGUGAAGGAAGACGGAUCUAUGGGUUGUAAACUUCUUUUAUAGGGGAAUAAAGGUAGCCACGUGUGGAGAUUUGCAUGUACCCUAUGAAUAAGCAUCGGCUAACUCCGUGCCAGCAGCCGCGGUAAUACGGAGGAUCCGAGCGUUAUCCGGAUUUAUUGGGUUUAAAGGGUGCGUAGGUUGUUUGUUAAGUCAGAGGUGAAAGUUUGUGGCUCAACCAUAAAAUUGCCGUUGAUACUGGAAGACUUGAGUGUGUUUGAGGUAGGCGGAAUGUGUGGUGUAGCGGUGAAAUGCAUAGAUAUCACGCAGAACACCGAUUGCGAAGGCAGCUUACUAAGCCAUAACUGACGCUGAAGCACGAAAGCGUGGGGAUCAAACAGGAUUAGAUACCCCGGUAGUC
Molecule: ribosomal RNA, 460 nt
Filed under: uncultured bacterium
Lineage: Bacteria
Description: partial 16S ribosomal RNA
Rfam family: Bacterial small subunit ribosomal RNA
Source: RNAcentral